Molecule: transfer RNA, 69 nt
Filed under: Rattus norvegicus (Norway rat)
Lineage: Eukaryota; Metazoa; Chordata; Mammalia; Rodentia; Muridae
Rfam family: tRNA
About the family: Transfer RNA (tRNA) molecules are approximately 80 nucleotides in length. Their secondary structure includes four short double-helical elements and three loops (D, anti-codon, and T loops).
Source: Rfam by way of RNAcentral
GGGGAUUUGGCUCAGUGGUAGAGCGCUUGCCUAGCAAGCACAAGGCCCUGGGUUCGGUUCCCAGCUCCG